RNA transcript from Bufo bufo (common toad), 2672 nucleotides. RefSeq lists it as uncharacterized. The transcript is spliced from 7 exons. The record is from RefSeq and is a predicted model, not a curated record. Lineage: Eukaryota; Metazoa; Chordata; Amphibia; Anura; Bufonidae.
ACCACAUAAUGUACAGGGGCCUCCAGCUGGUGACAUUGUGUCCGCAGAGCUCUGCACGGGCACCUGCUGAUACAAUGUAUCCAUGUGAGGAGUUCUCCUGGCUCCGCCCCCUCCCGGCACUUCCUUUGUGUCAGCUGCAGCAGCCGGAAGAGCCCCAGUGUGUGCUGGAGGGGGCUUCUCUCUGUACUGGUAUCUAGAGCACGGGCCCCAGGAAGACUCAGCAGAGGGCCACAUUGGUCUGGAUCCUGAUUGUUUCCUUUCUCUCAUACAUUCUCUGCACCUCACAUCUCCCUCCCCCAUCACUGGGUCAGCAGCCAUCAUGCAGAUGUUAUGUCAGAAGAACCCGUAUCUCAGCAGCAUCCGGGGAGUUGAGGACUUCAUCAUGGACCCCAACCUACUACGAUUCCCGGAGGUUGUACUAACGAGGAUAGAGGUGAAGAUAGAGGACGACCCCCCAACAAGUGCAGGAGCAGGUAAGGAGGACCAAUCUCUGGUGAAACCUCGUGUGAAAUCUGAGAAGAUAUGGAAAGAGUCGAAUGCCGCUGCUCCCUUCUACAGUUCGGCCAGAACAGAGGACGCAGGGUACCAUGAGGCAGAACGCAGUAAAGACUAUAACGGGGAGACAGCACCUGCCACAUCGGGUGAUGCCGGUUACUCGGAGUUGGGCAGAGAACCCCUCAGAUCUGGGUGUAACGGGUUAUCAAAACAGAUUAGGAGGAACCCUGGACGGAGGAAGAGGGGUGGUUGGCACCAGUAUGUAUGUAGGGAACGGCAGCAGUUUGACCGAAAGAAGAAGAAACACUGUGCAGCCUAUGUGGAGGAGGAGCGCCAGCGGGGGCAGCGGUUCAGUGAGGAAGAGAACCAAGUGCUGGUAGAGGGCGUCCUCAGCCACUACAAGGACCUCUGUGGGCACUCCUCCUUGAAGGGCAGCGCCACGAGGAAGAGACGUCUCUGGCAGGAAGUAGUUAAUAACGUCAAUAGUGUAGCGACGACGUACAGGACUAUUGAGGUGUGCAAGAAGCGCUACGGGGACUGCAAGCGAUCAGUUAAAGUCAAGAUGGCGGCUCUAGAACGCAAGGCCAUGGGAUGGGGAGUUCCUCAAGAGCAAAUCAAGUUUAGUAACUGGGAAGAAAGUCUAAGGCAGAAGAUCACUUCUAUCCCCAUUAACGGGGUGCGACGUGUGCUGGACACCUGUGAACCCUCCAGCCUGGAGCCAUCCGCUGCCCAGAUAACCCAAUCCCCCAUGUGUGAGCCUGUCUCUGACUACGACAACGUGUCCUCUCUGCCGGAUAUCCAUCUCGUCAGUGAAUACUCGGAGGAAGAAGAAGCCCCCAGUACCCCAGCAGACCCUGUUCCCUAUGAGACGGUGAAUGCAGCUGAGCCGCAGCCCGAGCACAUGUUUCCUACCCCUUCGGACCCAACGUCUAUGAUGAAUGGACCUGAGACAUCAGUCACUGGCCAGCACCAGCUACAAGAAGAUCUUAACACAAGUCUCCAGCACCUGACACAAGUCCAAAACGUGGAACUGCACAAGUUACGAGAAAACGUGGUGGAAGGCAACGCCAGAGUAGUCCAGCAGCUGGAAGGUCUAGUGUCGGAGGUGCGAGAGUUAAACGCCCAUGUGCAGCAGAUACACCUAAACCAAGCGCAUUUCAAUCACAUGUUCCAGAACUACAUCAGUGACACCAAGCAGUUCUACGGGUCUAUUGUACAAGCCAUAAAAGCCCUACAACCUGCGCCGACUGUAAGUCCUAUGGCGUCACCCACUUCAUCGCCCCUAUCCUCCACCAAAUAUUCAGCAGCCCAUACAAACCCAAUGCUAAUGACGGCUGCCAUGUUUGAUUCUACAUCACUGUCUCCAGCCGGUUCUGCAGAACCGCCGUCUGUAUCUUCCACCGCUUCAGAGGUCAACCCAACCAGCCACAACCAAGGAGGGAGACCACCCCUGGCCUUCCAGUUUCAACCUCUGAGAAAGUAUUGAUCUAAACGUUUAUUGCACAUCUGACCGCUGUCCCCAAUCCCUGAUAUCUGGGGGUGUAGUUGACAACAGUCCGUGGACUCUCUUCCUGCUGAGCUUGUGGGGCAGAGCUUGUGCUGAGACUCAACAGCCUAUCUGAACAAUCAGAGCUACAGUAUACAUGUUGUGGGCAGGACUGGGCAACAGCCUGAUCGUGUGAUGAAAAAUCUGGUGAAUUGCAGACUACCUCAGACUCCAGUAGUUGGAGUCAGUGAUGGAGCAGAGCAAACACUGAAGCAGGUCAGCAUUACCCAAAGACAGUGACGGAUCCAGGGUCCCUAUCUGGAGAUCCGUGAACAGCACAGUAACAUAGUUCCUUUGUGUUUUUGUAUUUACUGGGAUUAUAUUUCUAUGAUCUCAGAUAAGCCUAGUUUUGCUGAAUCUUUUCCCACAGAACGAUAUACCAGUCUGCUCAGCUCCUCCUGCUCUAUAACAUGGUGCCGGCUGAUUGCCCUGCAUUCUAUGGGGACCGGUCCCCUUUGAGGACCUGCACAUAUGGUCAUGUGACUACAGCUCCAAAAACGUAAAAUGUCCUGCACAGAGCAUACAUCAGACAUGCAAUACACCAGCAGAGCACCGACACAAUACCUAUACAGUACCCUCAUACUGCACAUAUAGCACCAACACACAGGGGGCACCUAGUCUUUCUGCUCCC